RNAcentral lists this ribosomal RNA (1370 nucleotides) under uncultured bacterium. RNAcentral's name for it is "16S ribosomal RNA". It matches the Rfam family "Bacterial small subunit ribosomal RNA". The record is from RNAcentral.
AGAGUUUGAUCCCUGGCUCAGGACGAACGCUGGCGGCGCGCCUAACACAUGCAAGUCGAACGAGCGAGAGAGAGCUUGCUUUCUCAAGCGAGUGGCGAACGGGUGAGUAACGCGUGAGGAACCUGCCUCAAAGAGGGGGACAACAGUUGGAAACGACUGCUAAUACCGCAUAAGCCCACAGCUCGGCAUCGAGCAGAGGGAAAAGGAGCAAUCCGCUUUGAGAUGGCCUCGCGUCCGAUUAGCUAGUUGGUGAGGUAAUGGCCCACCAAGGCGACGAUCGGUAGCCGGACUGAGAGGUUGAACGGCCACAUUGGGACUGAGACACGGCCCGGACUCCUACGGGAGGCAGCAGUGGGGAAUAUUGCACAAUGGGGGAAACCCUGAUGCAGCGACGCCGCGUGGAGGAAGAAGGUCUUCGGAUUGUAAACUCCUGUUGUUGAGGAAGAUAAUGACGGUACCCAACAAGGAAGUGACGGCUAACUACGUGCCAGCAGCCGCGGUAAAACGUAGGUCACAAGCGUUGUCCGGAAUUACUGGGUGUAAAGGGAGCGCAGGCGGGAAGACAAGUUGGAAGUGAAAUCUAUGGGCUCAACCCAUAAACUGCUUUCAAAACUGUUUUUCUUGAGUAGUGCAGAGGUAGGCGGAAUUCCCGGUGUAGCGGUGGAAUGCGUAGAUAUCGGGAGGAACACCAGUGGCGAAGGCGGCCUACUGGGCACCAACUGACGCUGAGGCUCGAAAGUGUGGGUAGCAAACAGGAUUAGAUACCCUGGUAGUCCACACCGUAAACGAUGAUUACUAGGUGUUGGAGGAUUGACCCCUUCAGUGCCGCAGUUAACACAAUAAGUAAUCCACCUGGGGAGUACGACCGCAAGGUUGAAACUCAAAGGAAUUGACGGGGGCCCGCACAAGCAGUGGAGUAUGUGGUUUAAUUCGACGCAACGCGAAGAACCUUACCAAGUCUUGACAUCCCUUGACGAUGCUGGAAACAGUAUUUCUCUUCGGAGCAAGGAGACAGGUGGUGCAUGGUUGUCGUCAGCUCGUGUCGUGAGAUGUUGGGUUAAGUCCCGCAACGAGCGCAACCCUUACUGUCAGUUACUACGCAAGAGGACUCUGGCAGGACUGCCGUUGACAAAACGGAGGAAGGUGGGGAUGACGUCAAAUCAUCAUGCCCUUUAUGACUUGGGCUACACACGUACUACAAUGGCGUUAAACAAAGAGAAGCAAGACCGCGAGGUGGAGCAAAACUCAGAAACAACGUCCCAGUUCGGACUGCAGGCUGCAACUCGCCUGCACGAAGUCGGAAUUGCUAGUAAUCGUGGAUCAGCAUGCCACGGUGAAUACGUUCCCGGGCCUGUACACACCGCCCGUCA